Arabis alpina (gray rockcress) is the source of this 89-nucleotide non-coding RNA. NCBI's taxonomy places the organism in Eukaryota, Viridiplantae, Streptophyta, Magnoliopsida, Brassicales, Brassicaceae. The record is from Rfam.
UCUUAAUGAUGAAUAACCAAUAGAUGCCGAGUCCGAGAAAAUCCUUUCAUUAAUCAUGGGGACAAAUACGAGGCAUUUGUCUGAGAGGA